Molecule: ribosomal RNA, 383 nt
Filed under: Cafeteria roenbergensis
Lineage: Eukaryota; Bigyra; Bicosoecida; Cafeteriaceae
Description: partial Bacterial small subunit ribosomal RNA
Rfam family: Bacterial small subunit ribosomal RNA
Source: RNAcentral
GUAGAGGUGAAAUUCGUAGAUAUUAGGAAGAACACCAGUGGCGAAGGCGACUCACUGGACAGGUAUUGACGCUGAGGUGCGAAAGCGUGGGGAGCGAACAGGAUUAGAUACCCUGGUAGUCCACGCCGUAAACGAUGGUCACUAGCUGUUUGGACUUUUGUCUGAGUGGCUAAGCGAAAGUGAUAAGUGACCCACCUGGGGAGUACGAUCGCAAGAUUGAAACUCAAAGGAAUUGACGGGGGCCCGCACAAGCGGUGGAGCAUGUGGUUUAAUUCGAAGCAACGCGCAGAACCUUACCAGCCCUUGACAUACCAAUCGCGGUUAGUGGAGACACUUUCCUUCAGUUCGGCUGGAUUGGAUACAGGUGCUGCAUGGCUGUCGUC